Felis catus (domestic cat) is the source of this 798-nucleotide long non-coding RNA. RefSeq lists it as uncharacterized. The record is from RefSeq and is a predicted model, not a curated record. The transcript is spliced from 2 exons. NCBI's taxonomy places the organism in Eukaryota, Metazoa, Chordata, Mammalia, Carnivora, Felidae.
AGGCUGAGAUGUCGUCCUCACCAGGCUUCUAAUUGGAGCCACCUGUGGUCUGCCUUGACUCGGGGUACCACCCCCCAGUAAUGUUGCCCAGGGCUCCCUGGCAGGGGCAAGGCAGGGACAUGUGGAAGCAGUAGACUGAGGACAUGUGGGCAGUUUAUUCUUUGAUGUCCUUGGAAGAGUGGUCACAGAUUGCAUGAUCUAAGUCAACAACCAGGACAGAUAACCCUCAGGAGAAUGAAGGUCAUUUCAACUAACAUGGGAUCGCAACAUUUGAGAAACCCAGAAGAAUCGACAUGAUGGAAAUGGUGCCAAGUUCUUCUGCCUCUUGCUUUUCAACAAAAAAGAGAAAGAAAGAAGGAGAGAGAAGAGAGGGAAUCUGCUAAUAAAAUGCAUGUCUAAACACUUUCUAAUUUUCCUAGGCUUUUAAUUUUUUCCCCUCAAAAAUUCCAUACUGGAGAGGGAAAGGCAGAGUAACAGCUGACAAAAGGAAUCUUGAAUGGAUACAAGAAUUUACGUGAGCUGGUGUAAUGGGCAAGAUACUGUAGUUGGAGUUUCAAAUCCUCGCCCUGUCAGUUUCCCAUUGUGUGACCAUGAGCCAGGUUCUCAAGCGGCCCGGCUUCCUGUUUCCCCACCUGUCAAAUGACCAAAAUCGUGUAUGUCUCCCCAGCUGUUUGCCUCACAAAAUGAGGUAAUAUGUUAGUAGCUAAUACAGCAAAAUUUUGGAUUGUGAGUAACUUGUUCUGCGAGUGUUCCACAAGAUGAGCAAACAUUUCUAAUAAAUUUUCACUUGAUAAACGA